RNAcentral lists this ribosomal RNA (1435 nucleotides) under uncultured bacterium. RNAcentral describes it as "bacterial SSU rRNA". It matches the Rfam family "Bacterial small subunit ribosomal RNA". The record is from RNAcentral.
AGAGUUUGAUCCAGGCUCAGAACGUACGCUGGCCCUUUCCUAACACAUGCAAGUCGAACGAAGUAGCAAUACUUAGUGGCAGACGGGUGAGUAACAUGUAGGUAUCUGCCCUUUGGCCUGGAAUAACACGAGGAAACUUGUGCUAAUACCGGAUAAGUCUUUACGGAGAAAGCUUUAUGCACCAUUGGAUGAGCCUGCACUUGAUUAGUUUGUUGGUGGGGUAAUGGCCUACCAAGACUGUGAUCAAUAGCUGAUUUGAGAGGAUGAUCAGCCACAUUGGGACUGAGACACGGCCCAAACUCCUACGGGAGGCAGCAGUGGGGAAUCUUGCACAAUGGAGGAAACUCUGAUGCAGCGAUGCCGCGUGAGUGAAGAAGGCCUUUGGGUUGUAAAGAUCUUUCGUCGGGGAAGAAAAUGACUGUACCCGAAUAAGAAGGUCCGGCUAACUUCGUGCCAGCAGCCGCGGUAAUACGAAGGGACCUAGCGUAGUUCGGAAUUACUGGGCUUAAAGAGUUCGUAGGUGGUUGAAAAAGUUGGUGGUGAAAUCCCAGAGCUUAACUCUGGAACUGCCAUCAAAACUUUUCAGCUAGAGUAUGAUAGAGGAAAGCAGAAUUUCUAGUGUAGAGGUGAAAUUCGUAGAUAUUAGAAAGAAUACCAAUUGCGAAGGCAGCUUUCUGGAUCAUUACUGACACUGAGGAACGAAAGCAUGGGUAGCGAAGAGGAUUAGAUACCCUCGUAGUCCAUGCCGUAAACGAUGUGUGUUAGACGUUGGAAAUUUAUUUUCAGUGUCGCAGCGAAAGCGAUAAACACACCGCCUGGGGAGUACGACCGCAAGGUUAAAACUCAAAUGAAUUGACGGGGACCCGCACAAGUAGUGGAGCAUGUGGUUUAAUUCGAAGAUACGCGCAGAACCUUACCAACACUUGACAUGUUCGUCGCGACUCUAAGAGAUUAGAGUUUUCGGUUCGGCCGGACGAAACACAGGUGCUGCAUGGCUGUCGUCAGCUCGUGUCGUGAGAUGUUGGGUUAAGUCCCGCAACGAGCGCAACCCUCACUUUUAGUUGCCAUCAUUAAGUUGGGCACUCUGAAAGAACUGCCAGUGAUAAGCUGGAGGAAGGUGGGGAUGACGUCAAGUCCUCAUGGCCCUUACGUGUUGGGCUACACACGUGCUACAACGGUAUCUACAACAGGAAGCAAGACUGCGAGGUCAAGCAAAUCCCUAAAAGAUACCUCAGUUCGGAUUGCACUCUGCAACUCGAGUGCAUGAAGCUGGAAUUACUAGUAAUCGUGGAUCAGCGUGCCACGGUGAAUGCGUUCCCGGGUCUUGUACACACCGCCCGUCACACCAUGGGAGUUGGUUCUACCUUAAGGCAAGGUUUAAAACCCUUGACCACGGUAUAGUCAGCGACUGGGGUGAAGUCGUAACAAGGUAACC